CGUGCUCAUGCAGCCAUGCUACCUGCCUGCUUGAGCACUCACUCGGAGUUCCGAUUGUGAACGUCACAGAUCAAGUAUCUUGCUUGCAAAAGUGUGAACUUUGCUAUUUUCGGACGUUUAAAUAAGUGCAAAAGAAAAUAUAAAUGGACACUAACCUAAACACAGAACCAGGAGAAGAGCCUGGAAUAAAUUCAGUUAUGGAAAUGGAUUACCAAAACAAAGUUCUUAAAAAAGUGAACGCCGGCGAUUUUACAGAAGACCCAAACCCAAAACGACCACGGAAGAACAAUCCAUCUCAAAUGAUCAACCAGUACAACGGGGCAACAAAAUAAAAAAGUAGAACAAAAUCAUGUUAUACUUAUACAACUAAAAGGAGAAUCAUUUACUUCAGACGUUAAUAAUCCGAUCAAAGUAACGGAAGCAAUAAACAAAAAAUAUUUCCAAAAGUACAUUAAAGAAGAUACACUUGGAAUUCUUGGAAAAGGAAAAACAAUCCGUUUUGAAGUAGAUGACAUAUCCAAAAUAGAGCAACAAGAUAAAAUAGAACAACUGGGAGACUGGAAAAUAACAUGGCGAGGAUGUUGGUUAUCGAGGUAUUUUGCACAAGGUAUGUUGCACCAAGUGCCCUGAAUAAGGUCCAGGGGAGACAAAGCCCCCCCCCUUGGCUAGAGCUUAAUUCAAAACUAGGCUGUUUCAAUUGCAGCAAUUGUAGUGAAUAUAAUCAUAAUUACAAAGAUAAUACAAAUUCCCCAUACUGUUUUUCUUGUCAUGAGGCAUACUCACCUAAAGAUAAUUCCUACAAAUUGCAUAAGAAAGCACUGGAAGUCAGUAUAAGCAACAUAACACCAAAUAAUAUAGAAAUAAAAUUAUAACUACAACAAUUGAAACCCAACACAAAACAAGAACAGAUAAUAACUGAUAAUAAGGGAACAACAAAGAAAACACCCAUUCAAACACAAAACAUGAAUACACAAUAAUCAUAAACAAACACAAAUGAGGCAUCAAUAAACUUAGAAACAAUGCAAACAUAUGCAAAGUCUUAACAUAAACAAAUAGAAUAACACCAGGACAGUAAACACCAGAAAAAAUAAAACAAACUCAAAACUCAAGCAAAUCAAAUUCACCAAGUUUCAUAGAAAACAUAACACAAGAUAAGCAGAGGAAACAAAUCAAAGAACAAAGAAAUAACAAAGAUCAAAAUACUAAUCUAAAUUAUGCAGAAAGUUCACCAAUAAUGUGGACAUACCAACACCAACAAAACAAACAUAAAAGAAUGAGGAAUCAAAACAGCAAACCCCCAAAUGGUUAAUUUUGACAAAAAGUAUUACCAAAGCCAUCAUGAAAUUGGUAAACAAUUUAAACUCAGAAAACUCAAUCUUAGAAAUCAUUACUGAAAUAGUAAAAGAUUUUCCAGUAAUUUUAAAACUAACUAAUGAAUUAGAUUAUAAUGUGGAAUCCAUGAUCAUUCCAAAAUAAGAUAAGUGACCUAAAUUACAUAAUAAGUAAAGAAAACCCAGAAUUCGCAUUAUGUAAAUCUAGGUUAAAAAACAAGGAUGAAUUUAAAGUAAACAAUUGUGUUAUAAUAAGGAAAGAGAAAAACAAAUGGGAGGGGGAUUAGUUUUGGAAUGAAACCUAAUAUGCAAUUUCAAAAGAUAGAUUUAAGAGAUACAUACAUAAAUAAAAAAAAAGUAUUAGGUACUAAAAUAGAAUAUAAAAACUGAUGGCUUAACAUAUUAUUUUACAUCCCUUGCAAUAGCAUAAAUAAAGAAGAUAUUCAACACUAUAUAGAUCAAGUAGAACAACCAAAAAUGCUAAUAGGAAGUUUUAAUGCACAUAACCCUAGUUGGAAUCCAAAAAAUGCAUUUAAGUAAUAAAACGGAAAAGCAUAUAUGAAGUUAUAAAUGAUGAGUUAAUGAUGACAUCACCAGGUUGGAUAACUAAAACAGAUCCAAUAAGGAAAUUACAUUAGACUUGAUAAUAGGCUCACCAACAAUAAACCAAAUAGAAAUCAAAUGGAGCGACCAUUUCACUGUAAUCAUAGAAGAUAUAAAUUAUCAAAACCAACAUACUCUUAUAGAAGAAAUGACAGUUUAGUGAAUGAAUGGUCUGAAUAUCAAGAAUAAUUUUAAAAUGUGGAUACAGAUAAGAUAAAUACAUUUGUAUGAUCUAAUAGACCUACUUAAAAAAAACUGGUCAAAAAAAAAAAAUAAU
RNAcentral lists this long non-coding RNA (2211 nucleotides) under Penaeus japonicus. RNAcentral's name for it is "uncharacterized LOC122262658". Lineage: Eukaryota; Metazoa; Arthropoda; Malacostraca; Decapoda; Penaeidae. The record is from RNAcentral.